GAGCACGCUACCAUAGUCUCUUGAGACUGAAGGAUGCCUAUCUAUCCAAAAGCCUCAGUGCCUUCUAAGAAGCACACCGCUUUCUCUAAAAGGUGUCACACCACACCCUAUAGUGUGUGUACUCCUUGAAGAGACGGCUGUGCGAAGGAUGGAAGAGGCCAAGUCCUCCCAGAAAGUUGUAAUUGCCCCUGUCAAUCUGUCUUACAUAACCUCCCCUGGGGCUUGGUUCAUACAAUGCUAAUCCAGGUAUGUACAGAAAAAGCCCUGCACGGCAGUCAGUUCAAGCUAAAUCGAUGUGGGUGAUCACCCUUGGAGACACAGCGCACUGCACAAAUCUCUUGAGGGAGACGUGACUCCUAAAAGGAAAUGUUCUGAACAUCAAGCCUUACUACUUCCCUUGCUGCUAAAAGAGAAAGGCUGCCAAAGCACGUACACAGAUUUUGCUGUUGGGGAAGGACCCUACAUGCUUUGUGCGUAGGAUGUCCUGUUCCAAGCUUCUCCCUGCAAUUGGUUAGGUUGGCUAAAUGCUACAGGCAAGACACUCUGACUG
RNAcentral lists this long non-coding RNA (550 nucleotides) under Pogona vitticeps (central bearded dragon). RNAcentral's name for it is "lncRNA (ENSPVIG00000007692.1)". The record is from RNAcentral. Lineage: Eukaryota; Metazoa; Chordata; Lepidosauria; Squamata; Agamidae.